AUGAUUUCCUUUUUGGUUCAUGCAAUGGACUCCUUGGCUUAUACACAAAGACAUCAACUAUCAAGCUUUGGAUAUCAUCCCGUGACAAAAGAAUACAAGAUUACACACUUCCUUGGUGAUUGUGUUGAUGGUCGCCCCCAUAAUAAAGACAGGUUCAGCACCAUUCAAGUUUACACUCUUGGUGAUGAGAAAUGGAAAGAUAUCCGAACCCCAGAAGCUCUUAGCUUGAUCAUUGUGAGAAACUCUGGAGUUGUCAAUGUUGAUGGCAAAAUGUAUUGGUUAACUGAAGACAUGUUAGCUAGCUGGCAGCAUGCAGUUAUGUCCUUUGAUCUCAGGGAAGAAAGUUUUGCGAAGAUACAACUGCCGGCAGAACGUGAAGAUCAUGAUCGUUAUGGUCCUCGUAAGUUCUGGAUCAGAGAUAUAGAUGGGAAAAUAUGUAUAGUAACUGCUCAAACAAGUCGUUAUGAUCCCAGAGCUCUUCUUGGUGAGUUGCAGAUAUGGACACUUGACAACACGGUAGAGCAACAAAGGUGGAGUCAGAAGUACAAUAUUAAGCACACACCAAAUUAUAUUCCAGGGCCACAUUUUGUCCACAGGGAUAGGAUCCUCGCACAACUUUGCAGCAAUAAUGUAUGUUCGUGUGAGUUGUUUGGUGAGAACUUUGAUGUUAACCAGAGUAAGUGGGUACACCUGUUAGAUUUCAGUCCCCGCAAGCCGUACAACAUGCAAUCCUACAUUUGUGUGAAGUCACUUGUACGUUUAGAUGUCUACAAGAAGGCAGGCAUUGUACGUAGACCAAAACAGCGGGAAGGCUGGGAAUUGAAGAAGUGGGAGACAUGGAAGUGUAUGCUUGGCAAGGAUGCGGAUAUGCGGAGCCAGAUCCACAAAUUUGAGCAUGACUUACUUACGUUUUUUGACACUACACUAGUGCCAAAAAACGUCUUACAUUAUGGGACGGAGGGAGUAUUUUGUAGGAACUCGCAGAAACAUCGAGUAAAAUGUGCAAGUUUUUGCAGAAUAAGCAAUAUAACAUUGCAGAACAUGUACUCACGGAACUCAAUCAGGUGUUGCAGCGCAAACCAGAUAAUCCAGAUCAGCCAUUGUCCAUCCGGAGGCUUAAUUGGGUGGGGAGCAGAAUUGGGAGCAGCAGAAGUUAAUGGCUCGUUUAAGUAA
Molecule: ribosomal RNA, 1173 nt
Filed under: Triticum aestivum (bread wheat)
Lineage: Eukaryota; Viridiplantae; Streptophyta; Magnoliopsida; Poales; Poaceae
Description: partial small subunit ribosomal RNA
Source: RNAcentral